UGGGGAAUAUUGGACAAUGGGCGAAAGCCUGAUCCAGCCAUGCCGCGUGUGUGAAGAAGGUCUUCGGAUUGUAAAGCACUUUAAGUUGGGAGGAAGGGCAGUAAGCGAAUACCUUGCUGUUUUGACGUUACCGACAGAAUAAGCACCGGCUAACUCUGUGCCAGCAGUCGCGGUAAUACAGAGGGUGCAAGCGUUAAUCGGAAUUACUGGGCGUAAAGCGCGCGUAGGUGGUUCGUUAAGUUGAAUGUGAAAGCCCCGGGCUCAACCUGGGAAGUGCAUCCAAAACUGGCGAGCUAGAGUAGGGCAGAGGGUGGUGGAAUUUCCUGUGUAGCGGUGAAAUGCGGAGAUAUAGGAAGGAACACCAGUGGCGAAGGCGACCACCUGGGCUCAUACUGACACUGAGGUGCGAAAGCGUGGGGAGCAAACAGG
This 429-nucleotide ribosomal RNA is filed under the name Pseudomonadota bacterium. RNAcentral's name for it is "Proteobacteria bacterium partial 16S ribosomal RNA". It matches the Rfam family "Bacterial small subunit ribosomal RNA", at positions 355 to 776 of the family's 1533-position model. Lineage: Bacteria; Pseudomonadati; Pseudomonadota. The record is from RNAcentral.